GAUGAAGAACGCAGCGAAAUGCGAUAAGUAGUGUGAAUUGCAGACUUUAGUGAAUCAUCGAAUCUUUGAACGCACAUUGCGCCCGCCAGUAUUCUGGCGAGCAUGCCUGUUCGAGCGUCAUUUCAACCAUCAAGCCCCAGGCUUGUGUUGGAGCCCUGCGGCUGCCGCAGCCUCCCAAAACCAGUGGCGGGCUCGCUAUCACACCGAGUGCAGUAGUUUACUCUUCGCUCAGGGCGUGUGGCGGGUGCUAGCCGUGAAACCCCCAACUUCUCAAGGUUGACCUCGGAUCAGGUAGGAAUACCCGCUGAACUUAAGCAUAUCAAUAAGCGGAGGA
This 334-nucleotide unclassified non-coding RNA is filed under the name soil metagenome. RNAcentral's name for it is "partial contains 5.8S ribosomal RNA, internal transcribed spacer 2, and large subunit ribosomal RNA". The stretch from base 1 to 120 matches the Rfam family "5.8S ribosomal RNA", at positions 35 to 154 of the family's 154-position model. The record is from RNAcentral.